CUAAGAUACCGAGUGGCGCACGGGUGAGUAACACGUAUCCAACCUGCCGAUAACUCGGGGAUAGCCUUUCGAAAGAAAGAUUAAUACCCGAUGGUAUAAUCAGACCGCAUGGUCUUGUUAUUAAAGAAUUUCGGUUAUCGAUGGGGAUGCGUUCCAUUAGGCAGUUGGUGAGGUAACGGCUCACCAAACCUUCGAUGGAUAGGGGUUCUGAGAGGAAGGUCCCCCACAUUGGAACUGAGACACGGUCCAA
This 250-nucleotide ribosomal RNA is filed under the name uncultured bacterium. Its description in RNAcentral is "partial 16S ribosomal RNA". It matches the Rfam family "Bacterial small subunit ribosomal RNA", at positions 83 to 334 of the family's 1533-position model. The record is from RNAcentral.